This 429-nucleotide ribosomal RNA is filed under the name Gemmatimonadota bacterium. RNAcentral's name for it is "Gemmatimonadetes bacterium partial 16S ribosomal RNA". It matches the Rfam family "Bacterial small subunit ribosomal RNA", at positions 355 to 776 of the family's 1533-position model. The record is from RNAcentral. Lineage: Bacteria; Pseudomonadati; Gemmatimonadota.
UAGGGAAUCUUCGGCAAUGGACGAAAGUCUGACCGAGCAACGCCGCGUGAGUGAAGAAGGUUUUCGGAUCGUAAAACUCUGUUGUUAGAGAAGAACAAGGACGUUAGUAACUGAACGUCCCCUGACGGUAUCUAACCAGAAAGCCACGGCUAACUACGUGCCAGCAGCCGCGGUAAUACGUAGGUGGCAAGCGUUGUCCGGAUUUAUUGGGCGUAAAGCGAGCGCAGGCGGUUUCUUAAGUCUGAUGUGAAAGCCCCCGGCUCAAGCGGGGAGGGUCAUUGGAAACUGGGAGACUUGAGUGCAGAAGAGGAGAGUGGAAUUCCAUGUGUAGCGGUGAAAUGCGUAGAUAUAUGGAGGAAAACAAGUGGAGAAGGCGGCUCUAUGGUCUGUAACUGACGAUGAGGCUCGAAAGCGUGGGGAGCAAACAGG